GAGUCAUCUCAAAAUUUGGGGUUGUCCAGUCAAUGUUAAACGACAACAGGUGGACAAAUUAGAAUUUAGGUUCUUUAGGGCUCAUUUUAUUGGAUAUCCUAAAGAGUCGUAAGGAUAUUAUUUCUAUCUUUUAGAAGACCAUAAUGUGAUUGUGAGUUGACAUGUACAUUUUUUUUGAAAAGUAGUUUAUUCAAGAUGA
This 199-nucleotide long non-coding RNA is filed under the name Elaeis guineensis (African oil palm). RNAcentral describes it as "long non-coding RNA (EGUI_LNC004278)". Lineage: Eukaryota; Viridiplantae; Streptophyta; Magnoliopsida; Arecales; Arecaceae. The record is from RNAcentral.